Molecule: non-coding RNA, 428 nt
Organism: Danio rerio (zebrafish)
Lineage: Eukaryota; Metazoa; Chordata; Actinopteri; Cypriniformes; Danionidae
Gene: smim1
Product: small integral membrane protein 1
Source: Ensembl
AAAGUCUAAGGAUCUGACUGACUGCAGAGCUGAUGUCCUGACAACCUUUGACUUUUAGGGGCAGCAGAGAGCUGGAAAUGGAGUCCAAUGGGGCCAGUGUUCAAUAUAACCGCUGGAGUGAAGAUAACAUUACCUUACAAGAACCACAAUCACGCUCCAGACUGCUUGGAAUCUACAACAGAGUGUUCACUGGACGGCUGGUCAUCAUGUUCAAAAUAGCAGCAUCGUUGACAGUGAUGGUUGUCAUUUACAUUGCUGGAUACAUCACAGGGUUCUACGUUCACCAAUGUGGAUAAGAACUCUCUGUACUGAUAAAUAAUGAGAUAUUGGAAAGAAAACUGGUUGUUAUUUGCAAAGUGAAUUAGAUUUUUUAAACUAUACUAAUAUUUAGCUUUUAUUUUGUUUAAAUGUGCUACACAGAAUCACUU